UUUUAUCACAGCUUUAGCUAACUUCAUACGAAUGUGCUAUUCCGAAUCGUUGUCGACUGUUCUUUACCCUAGGAAACAAAUAGUCAACCGGAUAUCGUGAUGUAAAUAAUUGCUUAUAAAGAGACCGAAAGGUGCCAUACGAGACGCUUGUAAGGUCAAUAACAUCAACCAAGUGUAUCCAACACUCAGUAGCGCUUCAGCUGUGGGAGAGGGAGGGUGGUGUUGUGUGCUGCUUGAGGUUAUUUCUUCUACUCGUCUUCUACUACAAGCUUCCUUUAUCAAAAUGACUGCGGAGUGUAGAAUAUAGAAAAAAAUAUAUGUAAGCACCACCAAAAGGAAAUUUCACAACACCUGUGCGAAUCCCGGGAAGAAAACUGACAUAUUGGCAAUAAGAUUAGCUUUUUGACCUAUUUUGUCAGCAUUGAAAUCACCCAUGACGAGACAUAGAAAACAUUGAUAUUAUCUCGUAAGUGGAAGUGGCUUGUACAAUUUGUACACUGUUCGAGCAUAGGCCUAUUUCACAUGCAUCAAAUAACUUAUGGUUCUGCUCACACAAUCCAGCUGACAGUGGUGAUGGCGUCAUGGGCGUGGGCGGCUGUGCAGGUGGGCGUGGUGGCGCUGCUGUUCGCUCCGCCCCCCGCUGCCCCCUCCCCCCUGGUGCCCCCUAGUGUCUACUCCCCGCGAUUCUCAGGACCUGGUCACCGGCGCCUCCAGAUCGAGCCGCGCCAAUGCGCUUCAUCUGAUGGAGAACCAGGGGUGUGCAUGUUCAACUUCGAGUGCUAUCAGCGUGGCGGUCACGUCGUUGGGACUUGUAUUGAUGGGUUCCUCUUCGGCGCCUGCUGUAGCCUGCCCGAGGGAGCCACUUUGCCUACGGAGGCACCUGUUGGCCAGCAAGGAAUUGAUGAAAACGGAGCAGGAAAUGGACAGAAGGAGGAAGAAGAGGAGAAGCCAGUGAUACCAGAGGUACCCGCGGAGGUGGAUCUCACGGGGACGGGGUUGGAUAGUGUGACGGAGGGAGCAGUGAUGGGUGGCGAGGCUGCUUCUCCCAAUACAGGGGCUGCAGGUGACGCUGUUACCCAGAGCACUUCUACAACAACAGAGAUUAUUGUUCCUGGCAUUGUUAAUGUUCGAGUACCAGAGUCAGACGAUACCGAAGACGAUCAGACUAGUAAUGCAAGUGAGAAUGAGGGACCCGCUCAGACAUCCACUGAAAUUCAGGAAGAAACUACGAGUGCAAAGAACGAAGACGUUCAAGAGCCAGACAGUACUGAAGAUCCAAACGUCGCUGGACCAACGACACCGUCCACCAACACCGAAGACGAAGGCACUCUGGUAGCGAUGGACGACUCGUCAAAUGGAGGCGAUUCUCCGGACGUCGAGGAAAGCACAGUGAAAUCCACAGAUGCCACAGAGGCGGAUGAAGUAAGUAAUCAGAUGGAGUCUUCGGUAGAUGACCAGGGUACUCCUCUGACGUCUGAGCCUCUGCCCGAUACUACUCCGCCAGCAACGGAACCGUCAUCGAAGUUCCACUCCGAUGUUGAGACGGGAAUACCAGACGUCCUCGCUGAGGGAGGUGUGAUUACCUUCACCAUCGUGGAGAGUGCGGCCCCGACCAGCGAAGGGCCGAGUGCGGACAUGGAGGAACACACCGAGCAAGUUAUUGUAAUGACCCUGCCUGACGGACAAGACGGGUUUGCUACGCACGAAAUCGUUAACUUUGAUGUCACUGAUUCUCUGAUUGAUGGUGAGGACAAUACAGAGAAUCCCGGCCUGAUGCCUUCUUCUUCAGACGAACUGUACUUCGAACCGAAGCCGACAUCUCAUAGGCCGUAUGUGCGCCCAACCCACGGACAGAAGACAUCGACGUCUGACCCACUACUCUUCUGGGAAGAUGAAGCAACACCACCUGCAGUUGAUGUGUCAGCGCAGACUAUCUAUGUCCUCUCACAGACAACGACAGACGAGGCGGAAGUAGGCACCCUUACAACAGACAAGCCUCCAGAACAGCCCACAGUUGCUCCUGAAAUAAUGGAAUCAACAGAAGGCAUUCCUCUUUUAACCCCACAGACAACAGAAUCGACCACAGAGCCCAUGCUAAUCUGGACUCUUUCUCCUCAGCCUUCCAUCCUAGAUGCAAAGCCUCCAACAUCAGUCAUUUCCCAAGUGGAAUCCAACACGCCAGCCGCGAAGCCCGAGCCAGCGUCAAAGCCAACAGCGGAUGAGAUGGAGACUCAAUCUGAUGUCCCCGGAUCUGUUGCAUCUGUUACUCCAAGCAAUCCACCGUCCAGUAACGAGAAGACGCCAGCCUCAGAAGAGGGAAUACCGGAUCUCGAAGACCCACUCGCUUUCUGGACUACCACACGGCCGACGAGACCGAGGCCGAGACCCACUCGAAAGCCCACCACGACCGACGAACCUCUGCUCAUCUGGACAACCACGCGGACGCCUCCGCAAGCCACGAGCACAGAAAGCUCGCCCUCCGAUUCCGUGACUUCGGAAGACGGGGAUCCCAUCCUCGACUCUGACAUUCCCCUCCAGCCGGCGAUUAUUCCCGGAGACAUCCUCCAGCACAUCACGGGAGACCUCCUCCACGGCGCCCAGAAUCAGACCACCGCCGACGUCACCACGACAACCCCGUGGGCGUCGUCCACCUAUUCCAUUGGCACGAUCAAGUACGAGGAUCCGUCGGUCAACACUCUCACGGACGCCCCCCAGCAGAGCACGACCCUCGCGAACGAAGUGACUCUGUCGUCUACCUCCCAAGUCGAAACCGCAACCACGACCAAACCCGAGACAACCACAAAAACGACAACGGAAAGAACGACAGAAGCAACCACAACCAAAACACGACGCCCAACAACAACAACCACAACCAAAAGACGACGCCCAACCACCACAACCACAACCACGAGACCGACGACCAAGAAACCCACAAGAAAACCUCCCAGCAGAAGACCAUCGACCAGGAAACCCCCCACCAGAAGACCCACUACUAGAAGACCGACCUCCAAGCCCCCCAAGACCACGACGGAUCCCACGACGGAGGAACCGAUCUCGCCCAUAGACCAGUUCAUCGUCGAUUUCAUCAACUCUUCCCCUCCUGAAGACCCCAUGACGACCACGGAGACCUCGCCGCCCAUCGACCUCGAUCUCUUGGCUCAGCUGUUCAACCUGACCAACUUCGUCCCCGGAGAAGAAAUUCUGUUUCCUCUGCCGCCCAAGAAGACAACGACGACAACAACCACCCCAAAACCCACGACUCGACCCAAGACAACCAAACGACCCACCACAACGACAACCGAACGACCAACGAAGCCAACAACCAACCGGAUUAUAUUACCGUCGUUCCCAACUACGCCGAGUACCACGACAACUACCACGACGACUACGACGACCACUACUACCACUACAACGACGACUACCACGACCACACAACCCACUACAACCACGCGGGUUUGGGAUUACAAAACCACGUGCGGCGUUCGUCCCCUCGCCCGCGAAGCGAGAAUCGUGAACGGCGAGCGAGCGGACUUCGCCGAGUGGCCGUGGCAAGCGCUCAUCAAGGAGUCUACGUGGCUCGGUAUCUUCACCAAAAAUAAGUGUGGCGGCGUUCUGCUCAACAGGAAAUACGUGCUGACGGCUGCUCAUUGUCAGCCUGGCUUCCUAGCCUCUCUCAUAGUCGUCCUGGGUGAGUUCGAUCUAUCGGACGACUACGAGCCCAAAAAGACCGUCCAGAGAAACGUGAAGCGGGUGGUCGUCCACAGGGGCUACGUGGCUAAGACCUUCGACAACGACCUGGCUUUACUGGAGAUGGAGAGACCCGUGACCUUCGACGAGCACAUCGUCCCCAUCUGCAUGCCGCAGGGGGAGGAGAAUUUCACGGGGAAGGUCGGCUUCGUUACAGGCUGGGGCAGGCUGUCGUACGGAGGACCAGUUCCAACGCAGCUUAACGAAGUAGCAGUGCCAAUUAUCAAGAAUAAUGAUUGCCAGAAAUGGUUCCUGGAGGCGGGUCACAUCAAGAACAUCAAACCCGAGUUCUUCUGCGCAGGAUAUAAGGAGGGAAAGAAGGACUCGUGUGAGGGUGACAGCGGCGGCCCUCUGUCUGUUCAGGGAGAGGACGGACGGUGGAUCCUCGCCGGCACAGUGUCUCACGGGAUCAAGUGUGCGUAUCCUAACCUGCCCGGCGUCUACAUGAAGAUGACCUACUACAGGCCAUGGAUCGAGAGCAUUAUCAAUUAGUGUGAACAUGAGAGAGCGCUCCAGUGAAAUUGUGUGUGAUUGCGUGUACAGCACCCGAAGACAGUGAGAGAGGAAAAACUUCUUCAAUACGCGCUUUGUUUAAUUUUGUAGAUAUGUUUACUUCCUUUUCCUGAUGAUGAGUCUCGUUUGUCUGCGUUUUCGUGCACGUGGUGUCCUGUGUGUGUUUGUGUGUAUUACCGGGGCUAGUUCCAGACUAGAGUGACUGAUGACCAUAAUGAAGGUGUGUUUUUUUUUAUAUAAAACUUCAUUAGAACAAUGGAAUUUUGGAACGAGCUGUUUUACAUGUGAUAUAAUCUAUCCUUGUUGUCUCAGCCAUACGACUUGCAGUGUUUAUUAUUCAAGACGUUUCGUGCUUCCAAAAAAGUGUCAUUUGUUACUAAGAAUCACAGCCCAUGAGAUAUGCAGAAAGAAAGCAGAGAAAUGAAGAAAAAAAACACAUGGUGUGAUAAGGCCAUAUUAUGAGCUGAAGAAUAUCAAGCGACAACAAAUCUACAAUGGAAACCAGCUGGUAUCAUAGUACCAGUUCAUCCACACCCACAGACGAAGCCCGAUGAAAGCGAAGAUUUCCAUGACUUUUUUCGACCGCUGAACCAAGACCUCAUGACGGACGACCCCAACCUCAUGUACUGACAGAAUUUGUGCCUUCGGGGGGACUUCAUGGCUACACGUUUGGUCGUCUUUGGCAUUAUCGGACGUCGGUUUUAUGUAUUAGAUUUCUAUUUAUUUAUUUAUUUAUUUAUUUGAUCCGUUAUUUAUUGGAGAGAUUUCAGCUGGACGUGUUCUCGUUUCCCUGUAGUUUUGUCAAAAGUUGUCUAAGAAAAGAUUGAUAUUUUUCUUGGUAUUGUUAAUGAAGAAGUUAAUGUUGAUGAAUAACAAAGAUAUGAUUUAUAUAUUUCAUCGUACAGUUGAUUAUUUUGACGAUAUGAAAUACACCAAAACACUUUCUGAUAUACUGUUAUGUGAUAAUGUAAUAAACACUUCAUCCGCUA
This 5249-nucleotide unclassified non-coding RNA is filed under the name Penaeus japonicus. RNAcentral's name for it is "serine protease filzig-like, transcript variant X1". The record is from RNAcentral. Lineage: Eukaryota; Metazoa; Arthropoda; Malacostraca; Decapoda; Penaeidae.